GUGAAUAUUUAUACAUGUAAGACAGCUUUUAGGUUUACAAAACAGACUCAUUAGGUGGAUAUGCAUACAUUUGAUACGGGAUAUCAUUUAUGUAAAAGGAAACAACAUGACUGCAGACCAACACACACACAAACACACAAUAUCCUAGCAGAUGAAUCGCAACGGGUGCUAGUAUUGGUGUUGCGGGUGUUUUCUAAACAACAAAGAUGGAAAUCAUAUAGCGUGAAAUUCUCGACACUUUUGUUGCUCUAUAUUUGACUGAACUGAAUUAUGUUUUUUUUUUUUUUUUUUAUUGCUGAAAACAAGAACAUAGAAAUCAAUACAAAAUACAAAAUAUCAACAAAAAUGAAACUUGAAAAAGACAACAACAGCAAUAAUAAUACAACUGUAUAAAAAAUACAAUAAAUAAUAAUAAAAUAAAUAAAAUAAAGUCAAAUAAUAUGCAAUAAAGGGCCAUUGUUUUACAUAAGAUUCUCUACACAAAAACUUUAAGUGCAGAAAAAUUCGAACAGUCUUAAUUGCUUUCUUAUUAGUAGAUACUGAGAUCAAAUGGAUAUAAUUUUCCAUAUCUCUUAGAAAGACCACAAAGCAGGUUUACAGUUUGAAAAUUCGCAUUUGUGAAUGUAAAAUUUACUUAAGAAAAUAAUUAAAUUUAUAAUAAAACAAAUAUUUUCUUUAGUGGGGUCUGAGUCAAAGUACCCAAAUAUAAUAUUUCUCAUUUGUAAAGAAAAUUCUGGCAAAAUCUUCAACUUAACAAAAGCACGAAUAUCAUAUAGUAGGAUGGUUUUGUGUGACCGCCGCCCAUGUUCGCGUGACGUCAUAUACUCGGAGGCAUCCGCUACCGCAAUAGUUGGCGUUGUUUUGUUUUUGUUUUUUCUACUGAUGAACGCAGACAUCAUGAGACGUGGCAGUCAUCAUUGACCUUUUUAUGUAUGUUCAGUUGGUCAUGCUAGCAGGAGCUGCUUUUUCUGGGUGGUUUCAAAUCUUGCAGGGUAUUGCCCCUGUGAACAGAGAGCUGGGGGCUUCUUCUCUUUUCUGCUCUGAAGCUCCUAGACGAGCCUAGAACCUCUUAAUAGACUUAAUCUUCUCAGAUAUGUAAGAGCUAUAUGAUUGAUACAAUUGAUAGAUUUCUUAGAAUUAAACUAACUUAAUUUGAUUUGGAUUGAUUAAGAAUGACUUUUAUUGAGUUUGUGUUAUGCAGUUUAUUUGUGAAAUGAUAGGAUUGAACAUUCUUACUGAAACUUGAUUUUACUUUCUCAUUUUCAAGUUAUGAUUAAUUCUGUUAUUCAUUUACAUUGCUGAAACUAUUGCUGUAACUUCUCCAACCCAUCCAUCUGACGUGGAUUCGAUUUUGCAUCAAUAUCGUAUUAGAAAUGUGUGCUCUUUUGACCAGUAAACAACCACCCAUUUUUUCUACUAAAAUUUCAAAAACAAGUGGUUUGUAUCAUUUGUUGGAUAACACUCCUUCACUCAAACUCAUAUUUUGUUUCCUGAUCCUCAGGUAGCGAUUACUGAGCUACACUGUAAAAAAAAUCCGUAAAAAUACAGUACAAUAUACCCUUAUAAUUACAGGAAAUUUUCCGUUUUUGGUUUUUACAGGUGUUUUUCUGUAUUUUUGAAUUACGAUUUGCAUUGUGGGAACAAGAACGUUGAUGGCUUACAUAGGCGCCAAAACAGUGAAGAAAAGACGCGGAGAGUUUCUCGGUCAAAGUUUCAUUUUAAUGUCGGCUUUCGAAUUUGGGAAACAUGUUUUUCAUAUACUCUUCGUGGUAAACGAGUUAAAUGUCACAUAAAUUGUUUACGUAAGGUUAACUUAGUUGCUGUCUGGCUUGUUUGGCAAAUGAACGUCGGAGCCGUCGCACUCAACAUUUCUCUGCAUAUCGUCAGACAUCUUCCUCGUGGAGUUUUCUGCCAAAUGAGGUAAGUUUUGACCUUUUAUUGUCUGUUUUACACACACACGGAAGAUAAAAUGAAAACACAAACUAAUUCGGUAACGUUACUAGCAAGCUGUCUGUGAAGCGACUGUAAACAGGCGUCCGACGCGCGGUAGCAGCGCCAGAAUGCCGCUUCAGGACGUGAUUGCUGCUGUACUGUGAAUCUCAAGCACACCUGCAUUCUUAUCAUGGGUGAUGGGCAGUUCAAGAUUGCUGUCGUUCAAGAAGUUAAUGACCACUGUUGAGGUUGUGAGCUACAAAUACCCAGAAGAGGCAGCACUUACAUUGGAAUUCAUACAGAAAGUUUUCCUAUGAAGAAAUCCUAAAUGAGGGUUGAGAUGAAGGAAACCAAGUGAUGGGCAGUUCAAGAUUGCUGUCGUUUGAGAAGUUAAUGAACAAAUCAUCUUUCCUGUUGCGGUUGUGAGCUACAAAAUACCCAGAGGAGGCGGCACUUACUCUGGAGUUCAUACAGAAAAUUUUCCUGUGAAGAAAUCCUAAACGUGGUUUGAGAUGAAGGCAACCAAGUGGCUGUGCGUUCCUCCAAGACUCUUGCAUAAACAAUUUAAAAAAUCCAUGUAAUAUUUGAGUUUUUAAAUUGGAAAAAAUGGCACUUGCAUUAAACAUGCAGUUAAAUGGGAAAUAAUACAUCCCCUAUAAUGAAUUGCAUCACUUCGAUGAUAUUUCUGUUAUAAUGAACUUCAAAAUGCUGUUGUCAAGCCACUGGAGUCACAUACUUUAUACCUUUCUGGACCUUGAAAAUGGUAGUUGCAUAGACAGUCAAUAGAGGGACAGAAAGUACCCAGAUUUAACUAAAAAUACUCUUAAUUUGUGUUCUAAAAAUGAAUGAAAGUCUUAUGGGUUUGGAAUGGUAUGAGUAAUUGACUGAAUUAGCAUUUUUUUGUGUGAACUAUCCCUCUAAACAAUAUUGUUUUCUCUUAUAAGAAAAAAAGUUUUGAAUCUUGACUGUUUCUCAUUGUGACGUUUAAAUUUUGUGACCACUUUUUAGUACAACACCUGUAUUGUACAGAUGCUCAUGUUUUCUUUUUUCUUUUUUUAAAUUCUGUCCGUUACUGUUUAAAGCUAAACUGUCUUUUACAAUACAGCCAUUUUGCCUGAGUUGACACAUUGUUAAAUGAAUUGAGUAUUUGAUAUUGUUUAGUCCUAACCCACUUAAGGCAAACAAAAGCCAUUGAAUGCACUUUUAAGAAUGUUUACAUGAAGUAAAAAUAAACCAUCUUCAAAUUUG
Long non-coding RNA from Labeo rohita (rohu), 3180 nucleotides. RefSeq lists it as uncharacterized. The record is from RefSeq and is a predicted model, not a curated record. NCBI's taxonomy places the organism in Eukaryota, Metazoa, Chordata, Actinopteri, Cypriniformes, Cyprinidae. The transcript has 7 exons.